RNA transcript from Gorilla gorilla gorilla (western lowland gorilla), 3871 nucleotides. It is a transcript of the gene named potassium two pore domain channel subfamily K member 9, with no coding region annotated. NCBI's taxonomy places the organism in Eukaryota, Metazoa, Chordata, Mammalia, Primates, Hominidae. The transcript has 4 exons. The record is from RefSeq and is a predicted model, not a curated record.
GCAAACUUUUCCUCCCCACCACCGAGAGGGGGCGAGGAGGGGUAAAAGGGGAAGCAGGUUCCGCGGGGCGCGCGGACCUGCAGGCUCCUUGCUGGGCACCGCCACCCGCGAGCUGGACCCACAGGGGUACCGGGCCCCGCGGCCGCCCUCCGGCCGCUUUCUGGCUCCGGUUCCCGUCCCUGCGUUUCCCGCGGGAGCGGGGGGCGGGGUGCGGAGGGCAGCGAGGCCCGCGCGGUACCCAGCGGGGCCGCCCUGCAUGGCCCUGCGCAGUGGGGCGGGCUGCUUCGGCCGGGUCUGGCGCAGGGUGUCGGGGUUCCCGGACGCCUGGCCCCGGCGCUCGAGCAGCCUCCUGUGCCUGUCCGCCUUCUCGGCUGAGCCCGGGCCCGUGCCGCCCCUGCCCCGCCAGCCGCCUCGCGGUGGCGGUGGCUGUGGCGGCCCCAGCGGAGGGGGCCCCCCCCAGCCUCCCCGCCCCCCGCCUCCCCGCUGCUGCUGCUGCUGCUGCCGCCGCCGCUUACAACUUGGAGGCGGCGGCGGCGGCGGCGGCGGCGGAGGAGGAGGCGGCGGCGGCCGCCGGGCGCUGCAGUGGGACGCGCGCGGCUGUGAGCCUGCGGGACAUGCCCCCCGCGCCGGCUCCUUGCUGGCGGCCAUGAAGAGGCAGAACGUGCGGACUCUGUCCCUCAUCGUCUGCACCUUCACCUACCUGCUGGUGGGCGCCGCCGUGUUCGACGCCCUCGAGUCGGACCACGAGAUGCGCGAGGAGGAGAAACUCAAAGCCGAGGAGAUCCGGAUCAAGGGGAAGUACAACAUCAGCAGCGAGGACUACCGGCAGCUGGAGCUGGUGAUCCUGCAGUCGGAACCGCACCGCGCCGGCGUCCAGUGGAAAUUCGCCGGCUCCUUCUACUUUGCGAUCACGGUCAUCACCACCAUAGGUUAUGGGCACGCUGCACCUGGCACCGAUGCGGGCAAGGCCUUCUGCAUGUUCUACGCCGUGCUGGGCAUCCCGCUGACACUGGUCAUGUUCCAGAGCCUGGGCGAGCGCAUGAACACCUUCGUGCGCUACCUGCUGAAGCGCAUUAAGAAGUGCUGUGGCAUGCGCAACACUGACGUGUCUAUGGAGAACAUGGUGACUGUGGGCUUCUUCUCCUGCAUGGGGACGCUGUGCAUCGGGGCGGCCGCCUUCUCCCAGUGUGAGGAGUGGAGCUUCUUCCACGCCUACUACUACUGCUUCAUCACGUUGACUACCAUUGGGUUCGGGGACUACGUGGCCCUGCAGACCAAGGGCGCCCUGCAGAAGAAGCCGCUCUACGUGGCCUUUAGCUUUAUGUAUAUCCUGGUGGGGCUGACGGUCAUCGGGGCCUUCCUCAACCUGGUCGUCCUCAGGUUCUUGACCAUGAACAGUGAGGAUGAGCGGCGGGAUGCUGAAGAGAGGGCAUCCCUCGCCGGAAACCGCAACAGCAUGGUCAUUCACAUCCCUGAGGAGCCGCGGCCCAGCCGGCCCAGGUACAAGGCGGACGUCCCGGACCUGCAGUCUGUGUGCUCCUGCACCUGCUACCGCUCGCAGGACUAUGGCGGCCGCUCGGUGGCACCGCAGAACUCCUUCAGCGCCAAGCUUGCCCCCCACUACUUCCACUCCAUCUCUUACAAGAUCGAGGAGAUCUCACCAAGCACAUUAAAAAACAGCCUCUUCCCAUCGCCUAUUAGCUCCAUCUCUCCUGGGUUACACAGCUUUACCGACCACCAGAGGCUGAUGAAACGCCGGAAGUCCGUUUAGGGGAACUAACUGCACAUUCAAGAGAGGCGUCCGUGGAUGCUGGGUCUCACUGCCAAAGCCGAACACGGCUUCGGGAUUUCUGCCUUCUCAAGUGGACCUCUGCUGUGCUGGGCGAAUGCCUCUACUCAUUCCCCUACACAACUGUGGGGAUGGUCCAGCUACACAUAGACAGGAAGCCCAGAGAAACGCUCGAUGUGAGGGUCCCCGCAAGCCAGUCGGGCUCUUUCGGCACCCGGCCCCCCCAAAGCUCCUCAACGAGGAGUAGAGACUGCCAAGCCCUUCCACUCAUUCAUCAUCAUAAAAAUGUAACUUGCUAUGGCAGCCUCUUGGCCAUUAAGGGCUAUACUUUGUGACCUCUGUCCUUGAGAUCUUUGCUCUGACAAGUUCUAUAGCCUUCUCAGUGCUGCUAUCGUGAUGCAGUGUCCCUGCUGUGGCUAAGUAACCUUUCGUUUUGAUCAAGAUUUGUCCACGCAGACUCCUACCUCUGCGCCUUUGCCCGUGCCGUUUCCACUACCUGGAAGGUCUCCCCGUUGCUCUCCAGCUUUGAGGUGGAGACAGAGCAUCUCACACUUCCUUUUGGUGUCUCCUGACCCUUUUGCUCCCUGCUGGACUUGGCGAUGUCCUCUUCUGGGCUCCCCUAGUCCUUGUUUUGGUUGUGAGUGACCGCACCAGGGAGCAAACCUUCUAUGGCCCCGGCCACAGGAGAAGCAAGCACUGGGCAGUGCCCCAGAGGGAAGGACCAUCGCGAGAAUAAAGGCACUGAGAUGUCUGGCAUCUUGCCCAAAUGGCCACUCAUCACCGUGAUUGAGGCACGUCUUAACUUGCUGAAGUGGAAACAGGGUAACUCAAUGCACGCCUCUGCACCAUCCCUGGAAACCAAUCCAGAUCUAUGAGAAGAAAACUGGUCAUCACAGCACUGGUGAUUCAACGGCACCUGCCUGGCAGGGUGGAGUGUGCCCCAUACAACAGGGCUGGAAGCUGCCAUGCCAGGUAUUUCUCAUAAGGCGGGUACAGGGAUGGCACCAGACUAUGGGAGCAUACUUGUGAUGUCACUCUGAAGAAGUUGGGCCCCGUGAUGGGAAUGUCAUCAGGAAACUGGGUCCACACUGUUUUCUUGUGGCAACACUUCUGGUGGAGGCUGCGAGGGGAUGGGGACAUGCACCAGGAGUGACUCAGGAACCCCCAGCCUCUGUGGCCUGGCUCCUGCCCACCCCUAGCUCUGGGGCCUUGAGAGAGGCAAGCACACACUCUUCUCGCCUCCAGAGAGCGGCGUGGGGGUGUGGAUACUGCUCAGGCCCUGGCAUCUCGCACGCCUAGGACCAGCCUCUGCCAUUCACAGGACCAUGCAGGCGGCCCCAACAGAGGACGGGGACAGCUCUCUCCUGUAAGUGAGGCAGCCUCAUCCUUCCCUGGAUCCUCAGCAUCUCUUAACCAGCAGUGGCAGAGGUUGAAUUAGAAUGGCACCAGCUUCGGAUAAAAAUCCAGAUCUCGCUUUUCAAAAUGUGUUUAGAGCUGGUGGCUGUAAGGAACCAAUCAAGCCUCAGCUGUGAUUCUAAUCCUGCCAAGUCCACCUGAGAGCCGACUCAUUCAUCCAAAGAGAGAACGGUUUGGAUGGAGCUCAAGGUGCCUGGCUCGCUGGCAUAGCCCAGACAACCUCUUAAAGGCCGGGCCACAGAGCUAGAAGGUCUGUCACUACUCAGUUGGGGAAAUUGUCUGAGAAGUUCAAGUCCACUGCCUCGCAACUCAAAUGAGUCAGCCUCACCAACCAAGAAUCGCGUUCAUAAACAGACUCAGAGCCUGCAUGCCGUGGGGUUUCCCCGUCUGCAACUCUGUCACCUGGCCCUCCUGCAGGGCCCGGCGGGGACUGGGGAGGGUCAGUGCUCCCUGGGGCGGGGACUGGGUCUGUUUCCAGGCUCAGUGCCUCCGAGUCAUACAGAUGCCAGGUGGUCCUGCUGCUUACCCUCGCUGAACCUCAGGCUUCUCGUGUAAACAGGGCGCUUUUGAGGAAUUAUUAUUAACAUCUCCCUGUGAGUCAAAGCACCUACUGAGAUAAUGUAUGUGAUGCUUGUAAUAAAUGCAGCUACGUGCCAGGCACUCUGA